Molecule: regulatory RNA element, 139 nt
Organism: Bacillus sp. 1NLA3E
Lineage: Bacteria; Bacillati; Bacillota; Bacilli; Caryophanales; Bacillaceae
Rfam family: PyrR binding site
About the family: This family represents the PyrR binding site and terminator structure. This RNA structure is found upstream of a variety of genes involved in pyrimidine biosynthesis and transport.
Source: Rfam
UUACCUUUUAAAUUAGGUCCAGAGAGACUUACAAGGGUGUUAAUAACAUGAUGAAUUGUGAAAGUUAACCACUUUAUCAAUUCAUGCUCGCGAGUUAUUUUUUGACACCCUGAUUCCUCAUAAUCAGGGUGUUUUUUGU